AUUGAACGCUGGCGGCAUGCCUUACACAUGCAAGUCGAACGGUAACAGGUUAAGCUGACGAGUGGCGAACGGGUGAGUAAUAUAUCGGAACGUGCCCAGUCGUGGGGGAUAACGUAGCGAAAGCUACGCUAAUACCGCAUACGAUCUACGGAUGAAAGCGGGGGAUCGCAAGACCUCGCGCGAUUGGAGCGGCCGAUUUCAGAUUAGGUUGUUGGUGAGGUAAAAGCUCACCAAGCCUGCGAUCUGUAGCUGGUCUGAGAGGACGACCAGCCACACUGGAACUGAGACACGGUCCAGACUCCUACGGGAGGCAGCAGUGGGGAAUUUUGGUCAAUGGACGCAAGUCUGAUCCAGCAAUGCCGCGUGCAGGACGAAGGCCUUCGGGUUGUAAACUGCUUUUGUACGGAACGAAACGGUGAGCUCUAAUACAGUUUGCUAAUGACGGUACCGUAAGAAUAAGCACCGGCUAACUACGUGCCAGCCGCCGCCGUAA
RNAcentral lists this ribosomal RNA (493 nucleotides) under uncultured bacterium. Its description in RNAcentral is "partial 16S ribosomal RNA". It matches the Rfam family "Bacterial small subunit ribosomal RNA", at positions 30 to 523 of the family's 1533-position model. The record is from RNAcentral.